CCAGAUUUUCUCAGAGGGCUGCCAUGAAGAAGACACUAAAUGAGAGAACAUGCAAAAGCCCCUAGCCCACUACUUGACACAUAAAAGUAGCCCACUACUUGACAAAUAAAUCUCCCUUUCCUCUUCUUCCAUCCCUGAAAGUGCUUCAGUCCAUCAAAACUAGAAGUUAAACCCAUGUGGGAAGAGUCUCUUGAGCCUUGCUUACCAGGCCUGAAACCUAGAAGUUCAUUUGAGAAUCAAAUCACAGAAGAUGUUUCCCUUUCUACUCAUCUUUUUUCUUUGAAAUUUCUUGAUGAAGUCUAAAGCAUAAUUUCUGAACUCCUUUUAAAUAUUAUUUCAUCUGAAUUGUUACAGAACAAUUGUCUUUUUUUAGAAGAUACUUUUCUGGAUUUUGAAAACUCAAAACUAAAGAAGGAGACAGAAUUUUCAAUAAUAAGCCCUGAAUAAAAUCAAAACCUUCUAACCUAAAGCAAGAUCUCAUACAACUAACAAAGUGCAUACUUU
Long non-coding RNA from Lutra lutra (Eurasian river otter), 504 nucleotides. RefSeq lists it as uncharacterized. Lineage: Eukaryota; Metazoa; Chordata; Mammalia; Carnivora; Mustelidae. The record is from RefSeq and is a predicted model, not a curated record. The transcript is spliced from 3 exons.